CGGACGGGUGAGUAACACGUGGAUAACCUACCUAUAAGACUGGGAUAACUUCGGGAAACCGGAGCUAAUACCGGAUAAUAUAUUGAACCGCAUGGUUCAAUGGUGAAAGACGGUUUUGCUGUCACUUAUAGAUGGAUCCGCGCCGCAUUAGCUAGUUGGUAAGGUAACGGCUUGCCAAGGCAACGAUGCGUAGCCGACCUGAGAGGGUGAUCGGCCACACUGGAACUGAGACACGGUCCAGACUCCUACGGGAGGCAGCAGAC
RNAcentral lists this ribosomal RNA (263 nucleotides) under uncultured Staphylococcus sp. RNAcentral's name for it is "partial 16S ribosomal RNA". It matches the Rfam family "Bacterial small subunit ribosomal RNA", at positions 99 to 354 of the family's 1533-position model. Lineage: Bacteria; Bacillati; Bacillota; Bacilli; Caryophanales; Staphylococcaceae. The record is from RNAcentral.